RNAcentral lists this ribosomal RNA (433 nucleotides) under uncultured bacterium. RNAcentral's name for it is "partial 16S ribosomal RNA". It matches the Rfam family "Bacterial small subunit ribosomal RNA", at positions 29 to 507 of the family's 1533-position model. The record is from RNAcentral.
AACGAACGCUGGCGGCAUGCCUAACACAUGCCAGUCGAACGAGACCUUCGGGUCUAGUGGCGCACGGGUGCGUAACGCGUGGGAACCUGCCCUUAGGUUCGGAAUAACUCCCCGAAAGGGGUGCUAAUACCGGAUAAUGUCUUCGGACCAAAGAUUUAUCGCCUUUGGAUGGGCCCGCGUUGGAUUAGCUAGUUGGUAGGGUAAAAGCCUACCAAGGCGACGAUCCAUAGCUGGUCUGAGAGGAUGAUCAGCCACACUGGGACUGAGACACGGCCCAGACUCCUACGGGAGGCAGCAGUGGGGAAUAUUGGACAAUGGGCGAAAGCCUGAUCCAGCAAUGCCGCGUGAAUGAUGAAGGCCUUAGGGUUGUAAAGCUCUUUUACCCGGGAUGAUAAUGACAGUACCGGGAGAAUAAGCUCCGGCUAACUCCGUG